UGGCGGCGUGCCUAACACAUGCAAGUUGAGCGAUUUACUUCGGUAAAGAGCGGCGGACGGGUGAGUAACGCGUGGGUAACCUACCCUGUACACACGGAUAACAUACCGAAAGGUAUGCUAAUACGGGCUAAUAUAUUUGAGAGGCAUCUCUUGAAUAUCAAAGGUGAGCCAGUACAGGAUGGACCCGCGUCUGAUUAGCUAGUUGGUAAGGUAACGGCUUACCAAGGCGACGAUCAGUAGCCGACCUGAGAGGGU
This 255-nucleotide ribosomal RNA is filed under the name Clostridioides difficile. RNAcentral describes it as "partial 16S ribosomal RNA". It matches the Rfam family "Bacterial small subunit ribosomal RNA", at positions 37 to 301 of the family's 1533-position model. Lineage: Bacteria; Bacillati; Bacillota; Clostridia; Peptostreptococcales; Peptostreptococcaceae. The record is from RNAcentral.